RNAcentral lists this small RNA (82 nucleotides) under insect gut metagenome. Its description in RNAcentral is "ATPC RNA motif". It matches the Rfam family "ATPC RNA motif". The record is from RNAcentral.
CGUCCCAGCGAUCUGCUAAACCUCCUGCGCGUAGGUCCGGCCAUUGCCGGGCCCAUCUCCGAUCCGGGGAUGUCCCAAGCGC